RNAcentral lists this ribosomal RNA (301 nucleotides) under uncultured bacterium. RNAcentral describes it as "partial 16S ribosomal RNA". It matches the Rfam family "Bacterial small subunit ribosomal RNA", at positions 509 to 809 of the family's 1533-position model. The record is from RNAcentral.
CAGUCGCCGCGGGAAUACGAAGGGUGCAAGCGUUACUCGGAAUUACUGGGCGUAAAGCGUGCGUAGGUGGUGGUUUAAGUCCGUUGUGAAAGCCCUGGGCUCAACCUGGGAAUUGCAGUGGAUACUGGGUCACUAGAGUGUGGUAGAGGAUAGUGGAAUUUCCGGUGUAGCGGUGAAAUGCGUAGAUAUCGGAAGGAACACCUGUGGCGAAAGCGGCUCACUGGACCAUAACUGACGCUGAUGCACGAAAGCUAGGGGAGCAAACAGGAUUAGAUACCCCCGUAGCCCUGUCUCUUAUACA